GGAUGUGUGGGCAAUCUGGCUGUGACAUCUGUCACCCCAUUGAUCGCCAGGGUUGAUUCAGCUGAUCUGGCUGGCUAGGCAGGUGUCCCCUCCCUCCCUCAAUGCUCCACAUGCGUCCCUCCUGAAGCUGCUGCUUGGUGGAAGAGGAUGACUAUCCCUGACAGAGGAGGACCGUUCCUAGGUCAAGGGUAUACGAGUAGCUGCGCUCCCUUGCUAGAACCUCCAAACAAGCUCUCUAGGAAGAAAAUUUUAGUGACAAGAAAAAUUAAGUCACGCUGUUAUUUAAAUAUAUAAAUUCUGUGAUUAUUAAUGU
This 313-nucleotide small nuclear RNA is filed under the name Chinchilla lanigera (long-tailed chinchilla). RNAcentral describes it as "7SK RNA (ENSCLAG00000021591.1)". It matches the Rfam family "7SK RNA". From Rfam's summary of the family: 7SK was discovered as an abundant small nuclear RNA in the mid-70s but a possible function has only recently been suggested. Two independent studies have found that 7SK RNA binds the CDK9/cyclin T complex (known as elongation factor P-TEFb). The record is from Rfam by way of RNAcentral. Lineage: Eukaryota; Metazoa; Chordata; Mammalia; Rodentia; Chinchillidae.